AGGUAUUAUAGCACUUUUAGAAUUUGUCUAGCAGGUUUCUGACUUUUGUCACACUCCCCA
Cricetulus griseus (Chinese hamster) is the source of this 60-nucleotide small nuclear RNA. Its record names the gene U7. It matches the Rfam family "U7 small nuclear RNA". From Rfam's summary of the family: Animal histone pre-mRNAs are spliced by a different mechanism than nuclear pre-mRNAs and self-splicing introns. This processing involves the U7 snRNP, which contains only one RNA species: U7. NCBI's taxonomy places the organism in Eukaryota, Metazoa, Chordata, Mammalia, Rodentia, Cricetidae. The record is from Ensembl.